This 307-nucleotide ribosomal RNA is filed under the name uncultured eukaryote. RNAcentral's name for it is "partial 18S ribosomal RNA". It matches the Rfam family "Eukaryotic small subunit ribosomal RNA", at positions 1470 to 1796 of the family's 1831-position model. The record is from RNAcentral.
CCCUUAGACGUUCUGGGCCGCACGCGCGCUACACUGACGAAGGCAACGAGCUUUCCUUUACCGAAAGGUACGGGUAAUCUUUUGAAACUUCGUCGUGCUGGGGAUAGAUCCUUGCAAUUUUUGAUCUUAAACGAGGAAUGCCUAGUAAGCGCAAGUCAUCAACUUGCGUUGUUUACGUCCCUGCCCUUUGUACACACCGCCCGUCGCUACUACCGAUUGAAUGGUUUAGUGAGGCCUUCGGAUCCGCGACUCGUUUGUGGAGAAGUUGGACAAACUCAGUCAUUUAGAGGAAGUAAAAGUCGUAACA